Molecule: long non-coding RNA, 778 nt
Filed under: Androctonus crassicauda
Lineage: Eukaryota; Metazoa; Arthropoda; Arachnida; Scorpiones; Buthidae
Source: RNAcentral
UCUGAAUAUGUUGCAUAAUAUUAAUGUAUUAAAAAACAUUAAUUUUCUCAAUCAUUGUUUUCUGGAUUUAACUGCAUUGGCUUUGAGUAACUCAUAUAUUGAGUCUCCAAAAGCAAAUGUGGACUCUGAUGAUGAUUCAGAUGAUGAUGAUGAUGGUCAUGAUCUCAUCAGUAAUCUUACUGAAAAACAGUUGCAAGCACCUGCUCAGGCAGUAUUAGUAGUCAUAAAAUUGGUAAUAGUGAUAUAGACGAAGAAAACAGAGAACAGGAAGAACCUAUUUCCAGCACAGUAAUGUAAGGUUAGACAUAUGCAAAUAUUUACAGAAUUAGGAUCAGAGGGAGAAAAAUGAUGGUGGUGUAUAUUCAUAUGAAUGAUUGAUCAUCCAUGUGAAUAUACACAACCAUUAUUAAUGCCUGAGUACUAAUGAGAUAAACAGGAUCAGAUAUAUUCCAGUUAAACUUUUGUUGCAAUAUAGUGCAGUUAUCUAAUUUGUUUCUAGAAGUUACCAAAUAUAGGAUGGUAUCCAUCAACAUUCAAAACAAAAGGUUAUGUAUUAUCAAAUAUUAGAUUUGAUAAAGUAGAUUAUUUAAUUCAGACAUUACCAGAAAAUAAAAGGUGAGAUAUGCUGGAGAAUUUUGCAAGUCUGUUGGUUGUACAUAAUGCAAAAUAUGUGAUACUUGAUGGUGUAUUGAAUGUUUUGCAAAAUUUCACAUAUCUUAAUAUUCUAAAGAUAUUCUUUAACAUUAAAAUAUAUCAUUAUGAAUCAGAAUGAAUCAAG